Molecule: ribosomal RNA, 281 nt
Filed under: uncultured Staphylococcus sp.
Lineage: Bacteria; Bacillati; Bacillota; Bacilli; Caryophanales; Staphylococcaceae
Description: partial 16S ribosomal RNA
Rfam family: Bacterial small subunit ribosomal RNA
Source: RNAcentral
CUCCUUUGACGUUAGCGGCGGACGGGUGAGUAACACGUGGGUAACCUACCUAUAAGACUGGGAUAACUUCGGGAAACCGGAGCUAAUACCGGAUAAUAUUUCGAACCGCAUGGUUCGAUAGUGAAAGAUGGUUUUGCUAUCACUUAUAGAUGGACCCGCGCCGUAUUAGCUAGUUGGUAAGGUAACGGCUUACCAAGGCGACGAUACGUAGCCUACCUGAGGGGGUGAUCGGCCACACUGGAACUGAGACACGGUCCAGACUCCUACGGGAGGCAGCAGAC